UUUUGUUGGAAUAUUGCUGAAGAUCUAAAUUCCAUAUUACUUCAGAAGAUGAGCAGAACUGAAAAUUAAGUGAGCUGUGUUUUCCAAGUAAGUCAUGUAUGUAUUUUUAGAUGUUGAUGUAAGUAUGAUACUUUGCCACAUCAUUGGUUCUAU
RNAcentral lists this long non-coding RNA (153 nucleotides) under Phasianus colchicus (ring-necked pheasant). Its description in RNAcentral is "lncRNA (ENSPCLG00000005567.1)". The record is from RNAcentral. Lineage: Eukaryota; Metazoa; Chordata; Aves; Galliformes; Phasianidae.